This 460-nucleotide ribosomal RNA is filed under the name uncultured bacterium. RNAcentral's name for it is "partial 16S ribosomal RNA". It matches the Rfam family "Bacterial small subunit ribosomal RNA", at positions 338 to 795 of the family's 1533-position model. The record is from RNAcentral.
CCUACGGGAGGCAGCAGUGAGGAAUAUUGGUCAAUGGGCGCUAGCCUGAACCAGCGACGUCGCGUGAAGGAUGAAUGAUCUCUGGGUUGUAAACUUCUUUUAUAUGGGAGUAAAGUGCAGUAUGUAUACUGCUUUGCAUGUACCUUAUGAAUAUGGCUCGGCUAACUCCGUGCCAGCAGCCGCGGUAAUACGGAGGAUCCGAGCGUUAUCCGGAUUUCUUGGGUUUAAAGGGAGCGUAGGCGGGUUGUUAAGUCAGUUGUGAAAGGUUGCGGCUCAACCGUAAAAUUGCAGUUGAUACUGGCAGCCUUGAGUACAGUAGAGGUAGGCGGAAUUCGUGGUGUAGCGGUGAAAUGCGUAGAUAUCACGAAGAACACCGAUUGCGAAGGCAGCCUGCUGGACUGUAACUGACGCUGAUGCUCGAAAGUGUGGGUAGCAAACAGGAUUAGAUACCCUUGUAGUC